ACUGCUGGUGCCUGGGGGUGGAUUCUGCACUUCUCCCCAUUUUACAGAUGAGAACAGUUGAGCAAAGGUCAGCAGCAGAGUCAGAACUCUUCCCCCAUCACCACAGUGGUCCUCAAGCUGGAGCCAGACAGCCACCCAGGUGACCCAGCUUGGAACAUGUGCUUAGCGCCAUGUUGAGCCAACAACUGAGCCUGAGGACUAACUUCCUAAGUCUCAGUCCCUUUCUCACCGGUCGGGACACCAGUUCCCUGACUUGUCAUGCCUGCGAGAUGUCAGACCUGCCUUCCUUCCUCAUUUCCUCUACAACCCACAAGAACACAGCCAGGACCCCUAGGCUUCUCCACUU
RNAcentral lists this long non-coding RNA (346 nucleotides) under Mus caroli (Ryukyu mouse). RNAcentral describes it as "lncRNA (MGP_CAROLIEiJ_G0003538.1)". The record is from RNAcentral. Lineage: Eukaryota; Metazoa; Chordata; Mammalia; Rodentia; Muridae.